CCUACGGGAGGCUGCAGUAGGGAAUAUUGCUCAAUGGGGGAAACCCUGAAGCAGCAACGCCGCGUGGAGGAUGAAGGUUUUCGGAUUGUAAACUCCUUUUGUUAGAGAAGAUAAUGACGGUAUCUAACGAAUAAGCACCGGCUAACUCCGUGCCAGCAGCCGCGGUAAUACGGAGGGUGCAAGCGUUACUCGGAAUCACUGGGCGUAAAGAGUGCGUAGGCGGGAUAGAAAGUCAGAUGUGAAAUCCUAUGGCUUAACCUUAGAACUGCAUUUGAAACUGUUAUGCUAGAGUAUGGGAGAGGUAGGUGGAAUUCUUGGUGUAGCGGUAAAAUCCGUAGAGAUCAAGAGGAACACUCGUUGUGAAGGCGACCUACUGGAACGUAACUGACGCUGAUGCGCGAAAGCGUGGGGAGCAAACAGGAUUAGAUACCCCAGUAGUC
This 440-nucleotide ribosomal RNA is filed under the name uncultured bacterium. RNAcentral's name for it is "partial 16S ribosomal RNA". It matches the Rfam family "Bacterial small subunit ribosomal RNA", at positions 338 to 795 of the family's 1533-position model. The record is from RNAcentral.